Molecule: ribosomal RNA, 467 nt
Filed under: uncultured bacterium
Lineage: Bacteria
Description: partial 16S ribosomal RNA
Rfam family: Bacterial small subunit ribosomal RNA
Source: RNAcentral
GACGAACGCUGGCGGCGUGCUUAACACAUGCAAGUCGAACGGAAAGACCCUGCUUUUGUGGGGUGCUCGAGUGGCGAACGGGUGAGUAACACGUGAGUAACCUGCCCUUGACUUUGGGAUAACUUCAGGAAACUGGGGCUAAUACCGGAUAGGAGCUCCUGCUGCAUGGUGGGGGUUGGAAAGUUUCGGCGGUUGGGGAUGGACUCGCGGCUUAUCAGCUUGUUGGUGGGGUAGUGGCUUACCAAGGCUUUGACGGGUAGCCGGCCUGAGAGGGUGACCGGCCACAUUGGGACUGAGAUACGGCCCAGACUCCUACGGGAGGCAGCAGUGGGGAAUAUUGCACAAUGGGCGGAAGCCUGAUGCAGCAACGCCGCGUGCGGGAUGACGGCCUUCGGGUGGGAAACCGCUUUCGCCUGUGACGAAGCGUGAGUGACGGUAAUGGGUAAAGAAGCACCGGCUAACUACGU